Molecule: ribosomal RNA, 254 nt
Filed under: uncultured bacterium
Lineage: Bacteria
Description: partial 16S ribosomal RNA
Rfam family: Bacterial small subunit ribosomal RNA
Source: RNAcentral
UACGGGGGGAGCAAGCGUUGUUCGGAUUUACUGGGCGUAAAGGGCGCGUAGGCGGCCACCGCAAGUCGAUUGUGAAAUCUCCGGGCUUAACCCGGGAAGGUCAACCGAUACUGCGGGGCUAGAGUGCAGAAGGGGCAACUGGAAUUCUCGGUGUAGCGGUGAAAUGCGUAGAUAUCGAGAGGAACACCUGCGGCGAAGGCGGGUUGCUGGGCUGACACUGACGCUGAAGUGCGAAAGCUAGGGGAGCGAACGGG